RNAcentral lists this microRNA precursor (112 nucleotides) under Podarcis lilfordi (Lilford's wall lizard). Lineage: Eukaryota; Metazoa; Chordata; Lepidosauria; Squamata; Lacertidae. The record is from RNAcentral.
AAUUAAGUUUGUUAUUGGUAUGAACUUUCAUGUGCAUGCACACUUCUUCAGAUACCUAUCUGAAGAAGUGUGCAUGCACACGAAAGCUCAUACCAAUAACAAACUUAGUUGG